RNAcentral lists this ribosomal RNA (926 nucleotides) under uncultured korarchaeote. RNAcentral's name for it is "bacterial SSU rRNA". It matches the Rfam family "Archaeal small subunit ribosomal RNA", at positions 245 to 1168 of the family's 1478-position model. The record is from RNAcentral. Lineage: Archaea; Thermoproteati; Thermoproteota.
CGGCCCACCUAGCCUACGACGGGUACGGGCCCUGAGAGGGGGAGCCCGGAGAUGGUCACUGAGACAAGGGUCUAGGCCCUAAGGGGUGCAGCAGGCGCGAAGAUUCCGCAAUGCCCGAAAGGGCGACGGAGUGAACCCGAGUGCCACCCGCUGAGGGUGGCUGUUCCCCUGUGUAAAAAGCAGGGGGCAGAAAGGGGAGGGCAAGGCUGGUGGCAGCCGCCGCGGUAAAACCAGCUCCCCGAGGGGUUCCCACGCAUACUGGGCCUAAAGCGUCCGUAGCCGGCCCUGCAAGUCUGCAGUUAAAUCCGCCUGUAGACAGGCGGGCUGCUGCAGAUACUGCAGGGCUAGGGAGCGGGAGGAGCCGGGGGUAUUCCCGGGGGAGCGGUAAAAUGCGUAGAUCCCGGGAGGACCACCAGUGGCGAAGGCGCCCGGCUUGAACGCGUCCGACGGUGAGGGACGAAAGCUGGGGGAGCAAACCGGAUUAGAUACCCGGGUAGUCCCAGCCGUAAACGAUGCCGGCUAGGUGCUGGCCAAGGUUUCGACCUUGGCCAGUGUCGAAGCGAAGGCAUUAAGCCGGCCGCCUGAGGAGUACGGCCGCAAGGCUGAAACUUGAAGGAAUUGACGGGGGGGCACCACAAGGGGUGAAUGCCUGCGGCUUAAUUGGACUCAACGCCGGGAAUCUUACCGGGGGCGACAGCAGGAUGAAGGUCAGGCUGAAGACCUUACCAGACGCGCUGAGGGGUGGUGCAUGGCCGUCGCCAGCUCGUGCCGUGAGGUGUCCUGUUAAGUCAGGCAACGAGCGAGACCCCCGCCCCUAGUUGCCAGCGGCCUCCUUCGGGAGGGACCGGGCAAACUAGGGGGACCGCCUCCGAAGAGAAGGAGGAAGGUGGGGGCUACGGCAGGUCAGUAUACCCCUAAUCCCCCGG